GAUGCCUCCCCCCACACCAGGAACGAGAUUACUCUUGGAGUUAAUGCCGUCUUGCGCAUCAUUUGCCCAGUAGAAGGUGCUCCAUCUCAUGCUACGGCUUCUUAUAGGAAAAUACUGUAGAUGCAAAGAGUAGUGAAUUGCACAUAUCAGGUGAUAGCUGGAGGCUCUUGUACCUUGUACCAUUGUAAUGUUUACUUAAGAUGUUCUAUAACCUACAUUUGUUCGUAUAUUAAAUUGUUUAUUAGUUUUGUUCACCAAUAAAUAUGUUACAUUGCCUAA
Lolium perenne is the source of this 279-nucleotide long non-coding RNA. RefSeq lists it as uncharacterized. NCBI's taxonomy places the organism in Eukaryota, Viridiplantae, Streptophyta, Magnoliopsida, Poales, Poaceae. The record is from RefSeq and is a predicted model, not a curated record.